UGGGGCGGUCUCCUCCCAAAGCGUAACGGAGGAGCACGAAGGUUAGCUAAUCCUGGUCGGACAUCAGGAGGUUAGUGCAAUGGCAUAAGCUAGCUUGACUGCGAGCGUGACGGCGCGAGCAGGUGCGAAAGCAGGUCAUAGUGAUCCGGUGGUUCUGAAUGGAAGGGCCAUCGCUCAACGGAUAAAAGGUACUCCGGGGAUAACAGGCUGAUACCGCCCAAGAGUUCAUAUCGACGGCGGUGUUUGGCACCUCGAUGUCGGCUCAUCACAUCCUGGGGCUGAAGUAGGUCCCAAGGGUAUGGCUGUUCGCCAUUUAAAGUGGUACGCGAGCUGGGUUUAGAACGUCGUGAGACAGUUCGGUCCCUAUCUGCCGUGGGCGCUGGAGAAUUGAGGGGGGCUGCUCCUAGUACGAGAGGACCGGAGUGGACGCAUCACUGGUGUUCGGGUUGUCAUGCCAAUGGCACUGCCCGG
Molecule: ribosomal RNA, 471 nt
Filed under: Klebsiella pneumoniae
Lineage: Bacteria; Pseudomonadati; Pseudomonadota; Gammaproteobacteria; Enterobacterales; Enterobacteriaceae
Description: partial 23S ribosomal RNA
Rfam family: Bacterial large subunit ribosomal RNA
Source: RNAcentral